Caenorhabditis elegans is the source of this 149-nucleotide non-coding RNA. The record is from Ensembl. NCBI's taxonomy places the organism in Eukaryota, Metazoa, Nematoda, Chromadorea, Rhabditida, Rhabditidae.
GCUCACGCUCAUGCUCACAGCACACGGGUUCCGCGCCCCACUAUGCUAGAAGUAAACAAACCAGGGCGCGGAACGCGUGAGAUGUCGGGCAAGGAUAUUACCUACCCUUGAGAUUUUGACCUUUUCCUGGAAAGGUCCCAAAAAAGACG